This 77-nucleotide transfer RNA is filed under the name compost metagenome. Its description in RNAcentral is "tRNA-Asp". It matches the Rfam family "tRNA". Rfam says of the family: Transfer RNA (tRNA) molecules are approximately 80 nucleotides in length. The record is from RNAcentral.
GCGGGCGUAGCUCAGUUGGUUAGAGCGUCGGCCUGUCACGCCGAAGGUCGCGGGUUCGAGCCCCGUCGCUCCCGCCA